UGGGGGAUAUUGCACAAUGGGCGAAAGCCUGAUGCAGCGACGCCGCGUGGGGGAUGAAGGCCUUCGGGUUGUAAACUUCUUUUGCUCUGAACAAGGCAUGCUAAUGGGUGUGUUGAGUGUAGGGGUUGAUUAGCGCCGGCUAACUACGUGCCAGCAGCCGCGGUAAUACGUAGGGCGCGAGCGUUGUCCGGAAUUAUUGGGCGUAAAGGGCUUGUAGGUGGCUGGUUGCGUCUGUCGUGAAAGCUCAUGGCUUAACUGUGGGUUUGCGGUGGGUACGGGCUGGCUUGAGUGCAGUAGGGGAGGCUGGAAUUCCUGGUGUAGCGGUGGAAUGCGCAUAUAUCAGGAGGAAUACCGGUGGCGAAGGCGGGUCUCUGGGCUGUUACUGACACUGAGGAGCGAAAGCAUGGGGAGCGAACAGG
This 419-nucleotide ribosomal RNA is filed under the name bacterium. RNAcentral's name for it is "partial 16S ribosomal RNA". It matches the Rfam family "Bacterial small subunit ribosomal RNA", at positions 355 to 776 of the family's 1533-position model. The record is from RNAcentral.